RNAcentral lists this small RNA (88 nucleotides) under Cebus imitator (Panamanian white-faced capuchin). RNAcentral describes it as "Y RNA (ENSCCAG00000010978.1)". The record is from RNAcentral. Lineage: Eukaryota; Metazoa; Chordata; Mammalia; Primates; Cebidae.
GGCUGGUGGGCAUGCAGUGGUGUUUAUAACUAACUGAUCACAAACACUUACACAUUUGUUUCUUCUCUACUUCCUUGACUAGCCUUAA